UACGUAGGGAGCAAGCGUUGUCCGGAAUUACUGGGCGUAAAGGGCGCGUAGGUGGGCGCUUAAGUCAGGUGUGAAAACUCCGGGCUCAACCUGGAGACUGCAGUUGAAACUGGCAGUCUUGAGUACAGUAGAGGUGGGCGGAAUUCGUGGUGUAGCGGUGAAAUGCUUAGAUAUCACGAAGAACUCCGAUUGCGAAGGCAGCUCACUAGACUGCAACUGACACUGAUGCUCGAAAGUGUGGGUAUCAAACAGG
This 253-nucleotide ribosomal RNA is filed under the name uncultured Bacteroides sp. RNAcentral's name for it is "partial 16S ribosomal RNA". It matches the Rfam family "Bacterial small subunit ribosomal RNA", at positions 524 to 776 of the family's 1533-position model. Lineage: Bacteria; Pseudomonadati; Bacteroidota; Bacteroidia; Bacteroidales; Bacteroidaceae. The record is from RNAcentral.